Molecule: ribosomal RNA, 669 nt
Filed under: uncultured bacterium
Lineage: Bacteria
Description: bacterial SSU rRNA
Rfam family: Bacterial small subunit ribosomal RNA (bases 127-669)
Source: RNAcentral
CAGAGCUGCUUUUGCGCGGGGUUACAUCUUCAAUAUAGAAGCAAGUAGACCUUAAACUGGAAGGCGGUGUCUUUGAAAGAAGACGCGGACUUCGUGAGAGGUUGACAGCUGCUACGGAAGAAAGUGACUUCGAAAAGAGCUGAAGUCUUCUAAGGAAGAUGAUAAGCUGUGCAAGAGAAGCAGUUGUGUGUUGGGAUCUAUUCUAGCGGCGGACGGGUGAGUAACGCGUGAACAAUCUGUCUCAGACAGGGGGAUAACACCUGGAAACAGGUGCUAAUACCGCAUAAGACCACGACGCCACAUGGCGAUGAGGUAAAAGGAGCAAUCCGGUUUGAGGUGAGUUCGCGUCUGAUUAGCUAGUUGGUGGGGUAACGGCCUACCAAGGCGACGAUCAGUAGCCGACCUGAGAGGGUGAUCGGCCACACUGGAACUGAGAACGGUCCAGACUCCUACGGGAGGCAGCAGUGGGGAAUAUUGGGCAAUGGGCGAAAGCCUGACCCAGCAACGCCGCGUGAGGGAAGAAGGUUUUCGGAUUGUAAACCUCUGUCCUCAGGGAAGAAAACAAUGACGGUACCUGAGGAGGAAGCCCCGGCUAACUACGUGCCAGCAGCCGCGGUAAUACGUAGGGGGCGAGCGUUGUCCGGAAUGACUGGGCGUAAAGGGCGCGUA